UCAAGUGAAUAAGUGCAUCAGGCGGAUGCCUUGGCGAUGAUAGGCGACGAAGGACGUGUAAGCCUGCGAAAAGCGCGGGGGAGCUGGCAAUAAAGCUAUGAUUCCGCGAUGUCCGAAUGGGGAAACCCACUGCAUUCUGUGCAGUAUCCUAAGUUGAAUACAUAGGCUUAGAGAAGCGAACCCGGAGAACUGAACCAUCUAAGUACCCGGAGGAAAAGAAAUCAACCGAGAUUCCGCAAGUAGUGGCGAGCGAACGCGGAGGAGCCUGUACGUAAUAACUGUCGAGAUAGAAGAACAAGCUGGGAAGCUUGACCAUAGCGGGUGACAGUCCCGUAUUCGAAAUCUCAACAGCGGUACUAAGCGUACGAAAAGUAGGGCGGGACACGUGAAAUCCUGUCUGAAUAUGGGGGGACCAUCCUCCAAGGCUAAAUACUCAUCAUCGACCGAUAGUGAACCAGUACCGUGAGGGAAAGGCGAAAAGAACCCCGGGAGGGGAGUGAAACAGAACCUGAAACCUGAUGCAUACAAACAGUGGGAGCGCCCUAGUGGUGUGACUGCGUACCUUUUGUAUAAUGGGUCAACGACUUACAUUCAGUAGCGAGCUUAACCGGAUAGGGGAGGCGUAGGGAAACCGAGUCUUAAUAGGGCGAUGAGUUGCUGGGUGUAGACCCGAAACCGAGUGAUCUAUCCAUGGUCAGGUUGAAGGUGCCGUAACAGGUACUGGAGGACCGAACCCACGCAUGUUGCAAAAUGCGGGGAUGAGCUGUGGGUAGGGGUGAAAGGCUAAACAAACUCGGAGAUAGCUGGUUCUCCCCGAAAACUAUUUAGGUAGUGCCUCGAGCAAGACACUGAUGGGGGUAAAGCACUGUUAUGGCUAGGGGGUUAUUGCAACUUACCAACCCAUGGCAAACUCAGAAUACCAUCAAGUGGUUCCUCGGGAGACAGACAGCGGGUGCUAACGUCCGUUGUCAAGAGGGAAACAACCCAGACCGCCGGCUAAGGUCCCAAAUGAUAGAUUAAGUGGUAAACGAAGUGGGAAGGCACAGACAGCCAGGAUGUUGGCUUAGAAGCAGCCAUCAUUUAAAGAAAGCGUAAUAGCUCACUGGUCGAGUCGUCCUGCGCGGAAGAUGUAACGGGGCUCAAAUCUAUAACCGAAGCUGCGGAUGCCGGUUUACCGGCAUGGUAGGGGAGCGUUCUGUAGGCUGAUGAAGGUGCAUUGUAAAGUGUGCUGGAGGUAUCAGAAGUGCGAAUGUUGACAUGAGUAGCGAUAAAGCGGGUGAAAAGCCCGCUCGCCGAAAGCCCAAGGUUUCCUACGCAACGUUCAUCGGCGUAGGGUAAGUCGGCCCCUAAGGCGAGGCAGAAAUGCGUAGUCGAUGGGAAACAGGUUAAUAUUCCUGUACUUGAUUCAAAUGCGAUGUGGGGACGGAGAAGGUUAGGUUGGCAAGCUGUUGGAAUAGCUUGUUUAAGCCGGUAGGUGGAAGACUUAGGCAAAUCCGGGUUUUCUUAACACCGAGAAGUGAUGACGAGUGUCUACGGACACGAAGCAACCGAUACCACGCUUCCAGGAAAAGCCACUAAGCUUCAGUUUGAAUCGAACCGUACCGCAAACCGACACAGGUGGGCAGGAUGAGAAUUCUAAGGCGCUUGAGAGAACUCGGGAGAAGGAACUCGGCAAAUUGAUACCGUAACUUCGGGAGAAGGUAUGCCCUCUAAGGUUAAGGACUUGCUCCGUAAGCCCCGGAGGGUCGCAGAGAAUAGGUGGCUGCGACUGUUUAUUAAAAACACAGCACUCUGCCAACACGAAAGUGGACGUAUAGGGUGUGACGCCUGCCCGGUGCCGGAAGGUUAAUUGAAGAUGUGCAAGCAUCGGAUCGAAGCCCCGGUAAACGGCGGCCGUAACUAUAACGGUCCUAAGGUAGCGAAAUUCCUUGUCGGGUAAGUUCCGACCCGCACGAAUGGCGUAACGAUGGCCACACUGUCUCCUCCCGAGACUCAGCGAAGUUGAAGUGGUUGUGAAGAUGCAAUCUACCCGCUGCUAGACGGAAAGACCCCGUGAACCUUUACUGUAGCUUUGCAUUGGACUUUGAAGUCACUUGUGUAGGAUAGGUGGGAGGCUUGGAAGCAGAGACGCCAGUCUCUGUGGAGUCGUCCUUGAAAUACCACCCUGGUGUCUUUGAGGUUCUAACCCAGACCCGUCAUCCGGGUCGGGGACCGUGCAUGGUAGGCAGUUUGACUGGGGCGGUCUCCUCCCAAAGCGUAACGGAGGAGUUCGAAGGUUACCUAGGUCCGGUCGGAAAUCGGACUGAUAGUGCAAUGGCAAAAGGUAGCUUAACUGCGAGACCGACAAGUCGGGCAGGUGCGAAAGCAGGACAUAGUGAUCCGGUGGUUCUGUAUGGAAGGGCCAUCGCUCAACGGAUAAAAGGUACUCCGGGGAUAACAGGCUGAUUCCGCCCAAGAGUUCAUAUCGACGGCGGAGUUUGGCACCUCGAUGUCGGCUCAUCACAUCCUGGGGCUGUAGUCGGUCCCAAGGGUAUGGCUGUUCGCCAUUUAAAGUGGUACGUGAGCUGGGUUUAAAACGUCGUGAGACAGUUUGGUCUCUAUCUGCAGUGGGCGUUGGAAGUUUGACGGGGGCUGCUCCUAGUACGAGAGGACCGGAGUGGACGAACCUCUGGUGUACCGGUUGUAACGCCAGUUGCAUAGCCGGGUAGCUAAGUUCGGAAGAGAUAAGCGCUGAAAGCAUCUAAGCGCGAAACUCGCCUGAAGAUGAGACUUCCCUUGCGGUUUAACCGCACUAAAGGGUCGUUCGAGACCAGGACGUUGAUAGGUGGGGUGUGGAAGCGCGGUAACGCGUGAAGCUAACCCAUACUAAUUGCCCGUGAGGCUUGACUCU
This 2890-nucleotide ribosomal RNA is filed under the name Neisseria gonorrhoeae. RNAcentral describes it as "bacterial LSU rRNA". It matches the Rfam family "Bacterial large subunit ribosomal RNA". The record is from RNAcentral. Lineage: Bacteria; Pseudomonadati; Pseudomonadota; Betaproteobacteria; Neisseriales; Neisseriaceae.